Molecule: RNA transcript, 1933 nt
Organism: Vespa mandarinia (Asian giant hornet)
Lineage: Eukaryota; Metazoa; Arthropoda; Insecta; Hymenoptera; Vespidae
Gene name: 26S proteasome non-ATPase regulatory subunit 5
Source: RefSeq, a predicted model, not a curated record
AACAUAUAUUUUUUCAUAUAAUAAUAAUCUUAUAUACAAUAUAAUGUAAUAAUUUAUAAUAAUAUACUAUUUAUCUUUAAUUUGUUUAAUUUAAUUGAUAGAGAAUGUACUAGCCGGUACUGUUAGCGCCAUCUAAAAAUAUAGGAAACAUAAUUGAAAUUCUUAUUGUAAUAGUCACAACGCCAACAAUGGCGGAGUGGUUUCAAAUAAAAGUUGAUCGCCUCAUUAAAGUUAAUAAUAAUGAAGAAAAGAAAGAUAUUUUGACUGAAAUCAAAAUAAAAUUGGGAAGUUAUAAUCAUGCAGAAAUUGAAGCCAUUGCACGAAGUUUGGAUGCUAGUUCUUUAUUUCUUCUCUUUUCGUCUAACGACAGAGAAGUCACAGAACAAAUAUGUAUAAUAUUCAAAACUUUAUUUGAAGUAUUGGAACCAGGGGAAAUUUAUCAAAAAUAUCCAGCAAGAGUAUAUGAAUUAAUAUCUCAUUCUGAUGUAUCAGUUAGAUCUCUUAUAUUGAAGGAGCUAUUGUCUACUGCUUCUAAUCAACAAACGCAGCUUUUAUUACUUGCAGAUGUUAAUUUAAUAGUUGCAGUUAUAAAAAGAAUAAGUGAUGAAGAUUUGACCGUUGCCACAUCAGCAAUGUGUAUUAUAAAAGAAAUUGGAAAGGAUAUGAAUGGUUUGAAAAUUUUAUAUCACGGUGAACCUUUAAGAACAUUUGCCAAAUUGGUUGUUAAAAACGAUAAUGUAAGCUUUCGGAUUUAUGAUGUUAUAAUAAACAUAGCCAAAAAUUCCAAAGAAGCUUUAGAAGUAACGAUACAAUCAGGAUUUUUGAACAGUCUUAUCAAUAUUUUACAAGAUGAUGAUAUAUUAUUACAAAUGAAUGCUUUGGAAACUUUGACAGAAUUAGCUUUGACAGAAGAAGGCUUGAAUUAUUUGGAACAGCAAGAUGUUUUGACAGGACUUGUUCAGAAAAUUGCACAAGCUAAUGAAAAUCCCUUGUCAAGUCUGUUAAUUCCUGGCCUUAUGAAAUUCUUUGGAAAUGUUGCAAGAUUGUGGCCAAAUGAAAUAUUUUCGAAAUAUCCAAUUGUAGUCUCUUCAUUAUUUGAAGUACUUGACAGUGAUAAUCAUAUUAUUUUAAAUGUUGCAUUAGAUACAUUGGGUCAUGUUGCAUCUAGUAUUGAAGGAAAAUACGCAUUACAAGAAUUGGGAGAUUCUAUGCUAUAUGCUCUGAAGAAAAUUGCAGAAAUUAUUCAAAGAAUGCCAACAGAGUUAAGAAUUUCCAGUAUGAAUAAUCUCACUCUCAUUCUUAAUGUACAGAAGAUUGAACAAGAUAAUAGAAUUUUAUCUUUAACAAAGUCAUGGUUCGAUGCUCUUUGUGAUGAUCCAUUAGGAUUAAUAGUUGGACUGUCUAAGCAGCCAUUUGCUGACAUCAGAUCUGCCAGCUUAGAGGUUCUAGCAGUUGUGGCAUCUCAAGCAUGGGGCCAAGAGUAUAUAUCUACUUAUCCAGGUUUAAUAGAGUUUCUCCUUGACAGAAACAUUGAAAGCUUCAAAGAGUGCAAGGAAACUAAAUACAAAGUUGUUAAAUGUUUGUCUGAAGCAGAAUCAUAUAUAUUUGAUGCAAAUACCAUGCAAAAAUUUAAACAGUUUGUUAAUGAAGGUCCAUUCUAUGUUGAAACAAAUACAGAAAUUGCAUUUGAAAGUGCUACAUAAAUACAGAAGUUGCAUUUGAAAGUGAUAAUGUUAUUUGGUAUUAUGGACAUUGUUAAGAAGUACAAGUUGUAUUGGUAAUUGAUUAUAACUUACUAAACUUACCACUAUAUCUUUGCCCAAAUGGAAAGGUGAAUCUAAAUUCAUAGCAGUCAGUCUAAUAAUUAUUGGAUGAAUUAGAUAAGCACAAUAAGUUACUCUACUGAAUGGAUAUAGAACAGGUGCUGAUAAAA